AACGAACGCGUGGCGGCAUGCCUAACACAUGCAAGUCGAACGAGGACCUUCGGGUCUAAGGUGGCGCACGGGUGCGUAACGCGUGGGAACCUGCCCUUGGGUUCGGAAUAACUCGCCGAAAGGCGUGCUAAUACCGGAUGAUGUCGUAAGACCAAAAGAUUUAUCGCCCAGGGAUGAGCCCGCGUAAGAUUAGGUAGUUGGUGAGGUAAAGGCUCACCAAGCCGAUGAUAGGUAGCCGGCCUGAGAGGGUGGACGGCCACAAGGGGACUGAGAUACGGCCCUU
RNAcentral lists this ribosomal RNA (283 nucleotides) under uncultured bacterium. Its description in RNAcentral is "partial 16S ribosomal RNA". It matches the Rfam family "Bacterial small subunit ribosomal RNA", at positions 37 to 334 of the family's 1533-position model. The record is from RNAcentral.